CCCUUCGGUUCGGAAUAACUCAGGGAAACUUGAGCUAAUACCGGAUACGCCCUUUUGGGGAAAGGUUUACUGCCGAAGGAUCGGCCCGCGUCUGAUUAGCUUGUUGGUGGGGUAACGGCCUACCAAGGCGACGAUCAGUAGCUGGUCUGAGAGGAUGAUCAGCCACACUGGGACUGAGACACGGCCCAGACUCCUACGGGAGGCAGCAGUGGGGAAUAUUGGACAAUGGGCGCAAGCCUGAUCCAGCCAUGCCGCGUGAGUGAUGAAGGCCUUAGGGUUGUAAAGCUCUUUUGUCCGGGACGAUAAUGACGGUACCGGAAGAAUAAGCCCCGGCUAACUUCGUGCCAGCAGCCGCGGUAAUACGAAGGGGGCUAGCGUUGCUCGGAAUCACUGGGCGUAAAGGGCGCGUAGGCGGCCGAUUAAGUCGGGGGUGAAAGCCUGUGGCUCAACCACAGAAUUGCCUUCGAUACUGGUUGGCUUGAGACCGGAAGAGGACAGCGGAACUGC
This 507-nucleotide ribosomal RNA is filed under the name Methylobacterium sp. KM2015-L13. RNAcentral describes it as "bacterial SSU rRNA". It matches the Rfam family "Bacterial small subunit ribosomal RNA", at positions 129 to 670 of the family's 1533-position model. Lineage: Bacteria; Pseudomonadati; Pseudomonadota; Alphaproteobacteria; Hyphomicrobiales; Methylobacteriaceae. The record is from RNAcentral.